GAUGAACGCUGGCGGCGUGCCUAAUACAUGCAAGUCGAGCGAACGGACGAGAAGCUUGCUUCUCUGAUGUUAGCGGCGGACGGGUGAGUAACACGUGGAUAACCUACCUAUAAGACUGGGAUAACUUCGGAAAACCGGAGCUAAUACCGGAUAAUAUUUUGAACCGCAUGGUUCAAAAGUGAAAGACGGUCUUGCUGUCACUUAUAGAUGGAUCCGCGCUGCAUUAGCUAGUUGGUAAGGUAACGGCUUACCAAGGCAACGAUGCAUAGCCGACCUGAGAGGGUGAUCGGCCACACUGGAACUGAGACACGGUCCAGACUCCUACGGGAGGCAGCAGUAGGGAAUCUUCCGCAAUGGGCGAAGGCCUGACGGAGCAACGCCGCGUGAGUGAUGAAGGUCUUCGGAUCGUAAAACUCUGUUAUUAGGGAAGAACAUAUGUGUAAGUAACUGUGCACAUCUUGACGGUACCUAAUCAGAAAGCCACGGCUAACUACGUG
RNAcentral lists this ribosomal RNA (497 nucleotides) under uncultured bacterium. Its description in RNAcentral is "partial 16S ribosomal RNA". It matches the Rfam family "Bacterial small subunit ribosomal RNA", at positions 28 to 507 of the family's 1533-position model. The record is from RNAcentral.